AUGAGGAGGGCGCAGCCGCAGCAGGGGACGGGGGUGGUGCGCGUCGACAAGGCGUCGCCCGCGUCCAGCUUCCGCCAGCUCGACGACGCCUUCCUGCAGAAACAAACAAAAAUCUGGCUUGGCGAAGUUCUCCAUGUCAGGUUUGAUGAAGACAUUUUGGUAGCAGACCUUCUAGGUGACGGGGAAUUGCUAUUUCAAGUUUCCAAAGUGAUAUGGAAGAGGCUACUCAGAAAGAACAAAGAACAACUCAAGCAAUCAAAAGUAUAUAUUUAUGAGAGACCAUCUUUUGGUAAAAGCAACGGGAAAUAUACGCCCUAUCCAAAAGUAGACUCGUUUCUAAAGGUAUGCCAAACCCUUGGAUUAGCUGGAAUUGAUUUGUUUACCCCUUCUGAUGUGGUCGAGAAAAGAAAUGUUCGAAAAGUCUGCAUGUGCAUACGCUCACUCUCUAAAAAGGCCGGGAUGAUGCAGCUAAACGUGCCUGAUUUUGAUGUUGUUACCCACACAAUAGCCAUGCCCAACUAUAUUGUUGGAGGCAUCCGCAGAAGUCUGGAGCAGCCACAAUGCAGUUCAUCUUGUUCGAGUGGGCACAGUCCGCGUGCCAUUUCUAAAAGCAUAUUUGAAGGACAGAGUGAUGAGCAAAGCGACCGACAUUAUGACUCUGAUGAAGCAGAGAGCAGUCUCUUUGUGCUAGGGCCUCAGGAUUCUCUUGAUGACGACAAACUUUCUGAGCUUUUGCAGUUGGGUGAUGCCCCCAAGGAAGAAAGAGAAGGCUAUGGAGACAGUGGUCAUGAAAUGCCCAAAGAGAAGUCGCUAGCUGAAUCAGCGGGAUCACUUGAUGCUGGUGUUAUGGGUGCUGAUACUACGAAUUCAACUCCUUUUCAUGAGAACCUACUCUCACCAACAGAUCGGUGUUCAACAACUAGAAGAAAUAAAUGUUCACUAAGUUCAGAAGAGUCAGACUCCAUAAACAGUUAUUUAGCGUGCGACAGUAGCAAGAAUGAUGUGGGCGGUCCUCCUGUCGAAGUGUCUGAAAGGAUUCAUGAUGGACACGUCGAACCUUCACAUGAUUCUGUUCAGGGAAAUGGGAAAAUAUUCACUGAUCAUCCAGAAAAAGACGAUAGCGCAAGGACUAAGGAUCACAUGGAUGCUUGCAAAUCCGACGAACUGGAUAAAACUGAAAACAACAGAAAUGCUCAGGGGACCGGGAACAAUGCUCCCAAAUCAGGGAAAGGAGUGCUGAAGUCAGUUGCUGGAGGGAUCACGCUCAUCGGCGCGGUGUUCUUCGUAGCUCAUCUCAGGAGGAGCAAGGGGAUAAGCUUUACAACAAUUUUGCCUUCACUUUCUGAAAAAUCAAUUCAGAGCGACUCAAGGGCGAAGAAUGUAGACAACGGAAAGACAACCGAGGUGUAUCCAGGCGGAUGGCUCAAGGUUUGA
RNAcentral lists this ribosomal RNA (1434 nucleotides) under Triticum aestivum (bread wheat). RNAcentral's name for it is "partial small subunit ribosomal RNA". The record is from RNAcentral. Lineage: Eukaryota; Viridiplantae; Streptophyta; Magnoliopsida; Poales; Poaceae.